GAUGAACGCUGGCGGCGUGCCUAAUACAUGCAAGUCGAGCGAACAGACGAGGAGCUUGCUCCUCUGACGUUAGCGGCGGACGGGUGAGUAACACGUGGAUAACCUACCUAUAAGACUGGGAUAACUUCGGGAAACCGGAGCUAAUACCGGAUAAUAUAUUGAACCGCAUGGUUCAAUAGUGAAAGACGGUUUUGCUGUCACUUAUAGAUGGAUCCGCGCCGCAUUAGCUAGUUGGUAAGGUAACGGCUUACCAAGGCAACGAUGCGUAGCCGACCUGAGAGGGGGAUCGGCCACACUGGAACUGAGACACGGUCCAGACUCCUACGGGAGGCAGCAGUAGGGAAUCUUCCGCAAUGGGCGAAAGCCUGACGGAGCAACGCCGCGUGAGUGAUGAAGGUUUUCGGAUCGUAAAACUCUGUUAUUAGGGAAGAACAAAUGUGUAAGUAACUAUGCACGUCUUGACGGUACCUAAUCAGAAAGCCACGGCUAACUACGUG
This 497-nucleotide ribosomal RNA is filed under the name uncultured bacterium. RNAcentral's name for it is "partial 16S ribosomal RNA". It matches the Rfam family "Bacterial small subunit ribosomal RNA", at positions 28 to 507 of the family's 1533-position model. The record is from RNAcentral.